Molecule: transfer RNA, 72 nt
Filed under: Drechslerella stenobrocha 248
Lineage: Eukaryota; Fungi; Ascomycota; Orbiliomycetes; Orbiliales; Orbiliaceae
Description: tRNA-Pro (TGG) (tRNA-Pro-TGG-1-1)
Rfam family: tRNA
About the family: Transfer RNA (tRNA) molecules are approximately 80 nucleotides in length. Their secondary structure includes four short double-helical elements and three loops (D, anti-codon, and T loops).
Source: RNAcentral
GGCUUCAUGGUCUAGUGGUAUGAUUCUCGCUUUGGGUGCGAGAGGCCCCGCGUUCGAAUCGCGGUGGAGCCC